GAUCACUGGCAUUAGGGAAAACUCAAAACCAGCCACAUACAUGGUAUGAAAAAUGUCAGGCCGGCGUGGGUUCGGUUCACUAAGCUUUCUCUUCCAUCUCAUCAGACUAGACCUCGCAGCCGCUCGAUCCCGCCCAGCCCUACCGCCUGCCACCAGCUUUAGGCUUCGUGGACACGCCCAGCCCCUGCUCCUGAGCCCAGAAACCGCUACGCAAGCCUCCAGGCUGUAUUCAGGAAACUAGAACAACACUGCUGGACGGAGUCCUCCGCCGCUCUUCCGUGUAGACAUCAGGGUUAGAACAGCAUGGAGUCGCAGACGUGGAAUGCCUACACCGCAAGCUGGGCCUUUCUCCUGAUGCUCGCAGGCACUCGUCUCCACUUCGCACGCACGGAGACUUGUAUUGGAAAAUUAGUCACUGCUGACCCGGAGGGCGCUGCCCUCGAGGGACACACCGUGCUGUGGGGAAGACAGCUGAGCGCACGGCAGCUCACAGCGCGGGCCACGGGUGAUGGGUGCGCUCUGCCCCGGGACUACGGGACACGGUUGAUGGGUGCGCUCUGCCCCAGGACUAUAGGAAGGAAAACCCCAGCUGGGCAAGAAUUAGUCCCAUUAGGUUUGCAAGAGUGUUUCCUCGCUCCGUCUGUUCACACCGGCCCGAUUCCCGGUUCCCAUCCGUUUUCCAACAGCUAAGCCGUAAAAACGCCAUCAUCGGGGGCUGAGGCGGGUCCUUCGCCGCCAAGUCAGUGACGUGAGGUUGGCGGGACAGUGUGCUAACGAGUUUUCAAGAUCGACCACAAAUGUGUACGUUGUCUCAGCUGGGAAACUGGAGAGCAGAAAAACCAGAAGGGGGCCGAGUGCACAUAAGCCACAUCCGACGCUGGGGGGUGUAAAACUGCAAGCACCUCGGAAAGACUAAUUAACGAUGCUUUAGAAGAAGCCAACUCCAGCAGGGCCAGUGGCGCAAUGGAUAACGCGUCUGACUACGGAUCAGAAGAUUCCAGGGCUCGGCUGUCCACGUCCACACGGCAACAGCCCACCGCGAUCCCAUAACCGACGGAGCAGCUGCUGAAGGACGAGGGCAGAGCACACGGGGAUCACGGAUCAGCGGGAAACUUCCCGCAGGAAGAAGCAGCUGGUAGGCGAUGAGCCGUCACACAGAGACAGGGACGACCUGGAUCGCGAAAAUAAACUCACUUUGAACACCUACGUUGGGAUCUUCAGACGAGAAGAGGAAAGUUCCACCCAUCGCCCUGCUGGACGGAGUUGUUGCAUCCAACAUCAGAACUGAGCCCUAAUUCCUCCUCUGUUUGCCACGCUGCCAUAGGAAAUGCCGUCUCUGCACGUCCGGACCAGUGGCUCCUCAGCACCUCCCCAUAUAAUUAUGAGAUCAGAUUUCGAAAGGGUUUCUCACCCAAGGGCCAGGGGCCAGUGCCAGCUAGCAACGAUCCCUGCGUCCCAGGAGGCACGGUGACCCCCCACCCCCAGUGCCUAGGAGCACGCAGUAGGCCUGCCGGUGGGGAUUCGUGGAGUGAAUGACAGUGUCUAACUGCAACAGAGUGACUGUGCAGGUUCUCUGCCCAGACCACUAGGAUGUGCUCUGACCCUCCUCUUGGCCUUCGCACCUGGCUCUUAGCUCCGGCCCCUGGUGGAGUGGUGUGGAGAUGAGAAUUCAGUCACAGUCGUGACUAAAUUCAUUUACCAGCCAACUUAGCUAAAGACACUGUCCAAAUACUUUAUCCUGGCAUCCAAAGCCAUUCAUGAUGAGGGCUGGCCUGUCCAACAGCUUCACUCCUGGAAUUUCAUCCCGUGCAGACUCUAGAAAAAGUAAGUCACUCUUAAUUGACCUUCAAAACCUGUUCUUUUAUUUUUCUAAGACUUUGCACAUUCCCUUGGGUAAAGCAGCUGAAGGACCUCUCAUCCUUAAAAUGGAAUUGUGGGAGCACCUGGGUGGUACGACUGACUCUUGGUUGCGGCUCAGGUUGUGAUCUCAUGGUGGUGAGAUCGAGCCUCGUGUCAGG
This is a long non-coding RNA of Ailuropoda melanoleuca (giant panda), 2018 nucleotides long. RefSeq lists it as uncharacterized. The transcript has 3 exons. NCBI's taxonomy places the organism in Eukaryota, Metazoa, Chordata, Mammalia, Carnivora, Ursidae. The record is from RefSeq and is a predicted model, not a curated record.